RNAcentral lists this ribosomal RNA (619 nucleotides) under uncultured Actinomycetes bacterium. RNAcentral's name for it is "bacterial SSU rRNA". It matches the Rfam family "Bacterial small subunit ribosomal RNA", at positions 88 to 721 of the family's 1533-position model. Lineage: Bacteria; Bacillati; Actinomycetota; Actinomycetes. The record is from RNAcentral.
UACUCGAGUGGCGAACGGGUGAGUAACACGUGGGUGAUCUGCCCUGCACUUCGGGAUAAGCCUGGGAAACUGGGUCUAAUACCGGAUAGGAGCCAUUUUUAGUGUGAUGGUUGGAAAGUUUUUUCGGUGUAGGAUGAGCUCGCGGCCUAUCAGCUUGUUGGUGGGGUAAUGGCCUACCAAGGCGGCGACGGGUAGCCGGCCUGAGAGGGUGGACGGCCACAUUGGGACUGAGAUACGGCCCAGACUCCUACGGGAGGCAGCAGUGGGGAAUAUCGCACAAUGGGCGCAAGCCUGAUGCAGCGACGCCGCGUGGGGGAUGACGGCCUUCGGGUUGUAAACUCCUUUCGCUAGGGACGAAGCUUUUUGUGACGGCACCUAGAUAAGAAGCACCGGCUAACUACGUGCCAGCAGCCGCGGUAAUACGUAGGGUGCGAGCGUUGUCCGGAAUUACUGGGCGUAAAGGGCUCGUAGGUGGUUUGUCGCGUCGUCUGUGAAAUUCCGGGGCUUAACUCCGGGCGUGCAGGCGAUACGGGCAUAACUUGAGUACUGUAGGGGUAACUGGAAUUCCUGGUGUAGCGGUGAAAUGCGCAGAUAUCAGGAGGAACACCGAUGGCGAAGG